Molecule: ribosomal RNA, 253 nt
Filed under: uncultured bacterium
Lineage: Bacteria
Description: partial 16S ribosomal RNA
Rfam family: Bacterial small subunit ribosomal RNA
Source: RNAcentral
UACGAAGGGGGCUAGCGUUGUUCGGAAUUACUGGGCGUAAAGGGCGCGUAGGCGGCGUGUCAAGUCAGGCGUGAAAGCCCCGGGCUCAACCUGGGAACCGCGCUUGAGACUGGCAUGCUCGAGUUCGGGAGAGGAUGGUGGAAUUCCCAGUGUAGAGGUGAAAUGCGUAGAUACUGGGAGGAACACCAGUGGCGAAGGCGCUACCUGGACCGGUUCUGGACGCUGAGGCGCGAAAGCGUGGGUAGCAAACAGG